This 211-nucleotide ribosomal RNA is filed under the name uncultured bacterium. RNAcentral describes it as "partial 16S ribosomal RNA". It matches the Rfam family "Bacterial small subunit ribosomal RNA", at positions 524 to 734 of the family's 1533-position model. The record is from RNAcentral.
UACGGAGGGUGCAAGCGUUAAUCGGAAUUACUGGGCGUAAAGCGCACGCAGGCGGUUGAUUUAGUCAGAUGUGAAAUCCCCGGGCUUAACCCGGGAAUUGCAUCUGAUACUGGUGAGCUAGAGUACUGUAGAGGGGGGCGGAAUUCCAUGUGUAGCGGUGAAAUGCGUAGAGAUGUGGAGGAAUACCGGUGGCGAAGGCGACCCCCUGGAC